Molecule: ribosomal RNA, 1541 nt
Filed under: metagenome
Description: bacterial LSU rRNA
Rfam family: Bacterial large subunit ribosomal RNA
Source: RNAcentral
UGAGAAUGCCGGUAUGAGUAGCGCAAGACAGGUGAGAAUCCUGUCCACCGUAAGACUAAGGUUUCCAGGGGAAGGCUCGUCCGCCCUGGGUUAGUCGGGACCUAAGGAGAGGCCGAAUGGCGUAUCCGAUGGACAACAGGUUGAUAUUCCUGUACUAGGUUAUAUAGUGAUUGGAGGGACGCAGUAGGCUAAGGUAAGCCAGUUAAUGGAUUCUGGUCUAAGCAGUGAGGUUUGGUAUGAGUCAAAUGCUUGUACCUAUAAGAUUGAGCUGUGAUGGGGAAGCACUUUCGAGUGCGAAGUACCUGAUGUCACACUGCCAAGAAAAUCUUCUAGCGUUUAAUUAUAACCUACCCGUACCGCAAACCGACACAGGUAGUCGAGGCGAGUAGCCUCAGGUGAGCGAGAGAACUCUCGUUAAGGAACUCGGCAAAAUGACCCCGUAACUUCGGGAGAAGGGGUGCUCUACAUUUGUAGAGCCGCAGUGAAUAGGCCCAAGCGACUGUUUAUCAAAAACACAGCUCUCUGCUAAAUCGUAAGAUGAUGUAUAGGGGGUGACGCCUGCCCGGUGCUGGAAGGUUAAGAGGAGUGCUUAGCGUAAGCGAAGGUAUGAAUUGAAGCCCCAGUAAACGGCGGCCGUAACAAUAACGGUCCUAAGGUAGCGAAAUUCCUUGUCGGGUAAGUUCCGACCCGCACGAAAGGCGUAACGAUUUGGGCACUGUCUCAACGAGAGACUCGGUGAAAUUUUAGUACCUGUGAAGAUGCAGGUUACCCGCGACAGGACGGAAAGACCCCAUGGAGCUUUACUGCAAGUUGAUAUUGAGUAUCUGUUGCACAUGUACAGGAUAGGUAGGAGCCAUUGAUCUGAGGACGCUAGUUUUCAGUGAGGCGAUGUUGGGAUACUACCCUUGUGUCAUGGCUACUCUAACCCGCAUGCCUAAUCGGCAUGGGAGACAGUGUCUGCUGGGCAGUUUGACUGGGGCGGUCGCCUCCUAAAGAGUAACGGAGGCGCUCAAAGUUUCCCUCAGCAUGGUUGGAAAUCAUGCGUAGAGUGUAAAGGUAUAAGGGAGAUUGACUGCGAGACUUACAAGUCGAGCAGGUACGAAAGUAGGACUUAGUGAUCCGGUGGUACCGCAUGGAAGGGCCAUCGCUCAACGGAUAAAAGCUACCCUGGGGAUAACAGGCUUAUCUCCCCCAAGAGUUCACAUCGACGGGGAGGUUUGGCACCUCGAUGUCGGCUCGUCGCAUCCUGGGGCUGUAGUCGGUCCAAAGGGUUGGGCUGUUCGCCCAUUAAAGCGGCACGCGAGCUGGGUUCAGAACGUCGUGAGACAGUUCGGUCCCUAUCCGUCGCGGGCGUAGGAAAUUUGAGAGGAUCUGCCCUUAGUACGAGAGGACCGGGGUGGACUUACCGCUGGUGUACCAGUUGUCUUGCCAAAGGCAUCGCUGGGUAGCUAUGUAGGGAACGGAUAAACGCUGAAAGCAUCUAAGUGUGAAACCAACCUCAAGAUGAGAUUUCCCAUUCUUUAUGAAUUAAGAGCCCUGAG